This 292-nucleotide ribosomal RNA is filed under the name uncultured bacterium. RNAcentral describes it as "partial 16S ribosomal RNA". It matches the Rfam family "Bacterial small subunit ribosomal RNA", at positions 505 to 796 of the family's 1533-position model. The record is from RNAcentral.
GUGUCAGCAGCCGCGGUAAUACAGAGGGUGCAAGCGUUGUUCGGAAUUAUUGGGCGUAAAGAGCGCGUAGGCGGUUUGGUAAGUCAAAUGUGAAAUCCCAGGGCUUAACCUUGGACGUGCAUUCGAAACUGCUUAACUUGAAUCUCGGAGAGGGUGGUGGAAUUCCCAGUGUAGAGGUGAAAUUCGUAGAUAUUGGGAGGAACACCGGUGGCGAAGGCGACCACCUGGACGAUGAUUGACGCUGAGGCGCGAGAGUGUGGGGAUCAAACAGGAUUAGAAACCCUGGUAGUCC